RNAcentral lists this long non-coding RNA (1785 nucleotides) under Homo sapiens (human). RNAcentral describes it as "HSALNT0154893". The record is from RNAcentral. Lineage: Eukaryota; Metazoa; Chordata; Mammalia; Primates; Hominidae.
CAGAUGAAAUGAAUUUUAAUAUACUUUAACCUAUCAAAUUUUUUUUUAUCAUUUCAACAUGUCAUCAAUAUAAAAAUACGAAUGAAAUAUUAAAUUCUCAGCCGGGCAUGGUGGCUCACACCUGUAAUCCCAGCAGCUUGGCAGGCCGAGGCAGGCGGAUCACUUGAGGUCAGGAUUUCGAGACCAGUCUGGCCAACGUGGUGAAACCCCAUCUCUGCAAAAAUACAAAAAAUGAGCCGGGUGUGGUGGUGGGCCCCUGUAGUCCCAGCUACUCGGGAGGCUGAGGCAGGAGACCUACUUGAGCCUGGAAGGCAGAGGUUGCAGUGAGCUGAGGUCGCAUCACUGCACUCCAGCCUGGGCAACAGAGUGAGACCCCGUCUCAAAAAAAAAAAAAAAAAAAAAGAAAUAUUAAAUUCUCUUUCUGAUACUAAGUCUUUGAAAUCUGGUGUAUAUUUCAGACAGAGCAUCUCAAUUUGGAUCAGCCACAUUUCACGUGUUGUGUGAGUUUCAAACAAUCUCUCUAAGAUUGUUUGUUUUGAGACGAAGUCUUGCUCUGUCUCCCAGGCUGGAGUGCAAUGGCACGAUCUCAGUUCACUGCAAUCUCCGCCUCCUGGGUUCAAGCGAUUCUCCUGCCUUAGCCUCCCAAGUAGGUGGGACUGCAGGCACCUGCCACUACACCCAACUAAUUUUUGUGUUUUUAGUAGAGAUGGGGUUUUGCCAUGUUGGCCAGGCUGGUCUCGAACUCCUGACCUCAGGCGAUCCUCCUGCCUUGGCCUCCCAAAGUGCUGGGAUUACAGGCAUGAGCCACCGCCUCCGGCCCUGAGAUUGUUUUUUCAUCUAUAAAGUCAGGAAAAUAAUACUUUCCUCUGAGGUCUGUUAUCAGUAUUGUGAUACUUGCAAGAAAAGCGUAUGCUCAACAAAUGAGUGCUAUCAUCAUUUUAUCAUGGCUAUUUAAACAAAUUAAUGUGCAGUCUGUUCAGAACUAAAACUGGAUGUCACAGCUGAUAGGUGUUUUUGUACUUUUCCCACAACAUUAUGCUGCUUCUAGUCAUGAAUCAAAUCACUGGACUUAAGGGUUUGAACCUGGCAUAAACUGAUCUUGGUUCAAGUCCUGGCUCCUGGUGCUUGUGUGACCUUGGGUGAGUGAUUUUUUACCCCUUGAAGACUGGGUGUUCUCUACUAUAAAACAGAGAUGAUAAUAAUCACACCUUCCUGAUGGGUUUUUUAUGAAAGUUUCAUGGAGCGAUGUAGGUAGAGCCUGCAGUGCCGUGUCUGGCACUAGCUAAGCACUCCAUGAUUGUUUAAGAUUAUCUUAUUCCGGCCAGGCUCGGUGGCUCAUGCCUGUAAUCCCAGCACUUUGGGAGGCCAAGGCAGGUGGAUUACCUGAGGUCGGGAGUUUGAGACCAGUCUGGCCAAGAUGGUGAAACCCCAUCUCUCCUAAAAAUACAAAAAUUAGCCAGGUGUGGUGGCAGGCGCCUGUAAUCCCAGAUACUUGGGAGUCUGAGGCAGGAGAAUCUGUUGAACCCAGGAGGCAGAGGUUGCAGUGAGCCAAGAUUGGACCACUGCACUCCAGCCUGGGCGACACAACGAGACUCAGUCUCAAAGAAAAAAAAAAAAAAGGCCAGGCGCAGUGGCUCACACCUGUAAUCCCAGCACUUUGGGAAGCUGAGGCAAGUGGAUCAUGAGGUCAGGAGAUCCAGACCAUCCUGGCUAACAUGGUGAAACCCUGUCUUUACUAAAAAGUACAGAAAAUUAGGGCAUGGUGGUGGGCGCCUGUAGUCCCAG